Molecule: long non-coding RNA, 366 nt
Filed under: Carica papaya (papaya)
Lineage: Eukaryota; Viridiplantae; Streptophyta; Magnoliopsida; Brassicales; Caricaceae
Description: long non-coding RNA (CPAP_LNC002859)
Source: RNAcentral
GUACUGCUGGGGGCAUAUUCAUGAGUUGGGUUGCUGGGCAAACUAGGCAUGGGGAGAGUAGUCAAGGCCUUCAUUGCUGGAUCUGAGUAAAACAUCCCAUCAUCCCUUGGAGAACCCUCAGCAGAACUCGAGUUACCUUGUUCCUUCUUUAGCUUCUUUGCGAGUUCGGCAACAUCAUUCCACAAGGCCUUCAUACCAGCAUCCAAAACUUCAAGCUCUUCCAGGUUGAAUUUGUCCAUUGAACGCGUAUACCAAAGCUCUUUCAUCAAGCCUUUUCUUCUUUGUUUGAGCUCUUUACCUCGCUUCCUUGCUGCCUCCUCCUUGUCUUGAGCCUGUUAUCAUAUACACAUGUUCAUUUAUUUGCAG